AACACANUUCANAGCAAUGAUUAAUAUCAUAGUAUUCUGGAUGAAAUUUGCCCAAUGCCAUUAACAUAAAAGAGGUUAUGGGUGACUGUAACUGAUUGAAAGUCUGGUUAAUAGCGGUCUUAACUAUGAGGAUCCAAAGGUAGCAAAAUAAAUUGGCCAUUAAAUGUGGUCUGGUAUCAAUAGUGUAACGAUGGUCUCACUGUCUCUACAACUUGCUCAGUGAAAUUGAAUUACCCGUGCAGAUGCGGGUUGCCUCCAGGUGGACGGGAAGACCCUAUGCAGCUU
Molecule: ribosomal RNA, 285 nt
Filed under: Hydnum repandum
Lineage: Eukaryota; Fungi; Basidiomycota; Agaricomycetes; Cantharellales; Hydnaceae
Description: partial mitochondrial large subunit ribosomal RNA
Rfam family: Bacterial large subunit ribosomal RNA
Source: RNAcentral